This 454-nucleotide ribosomal RNA is filed under the name uncultured Oomycota. RNAcentral's name for it is "LSU rRNA". It matches the Rfam family "Eukaryotic large subunit ribosomal RNA", at positions 327 to 630 of the family's 3401-position model. Lineage: Eukaryota; Oomycota. The record is from RNAcentral.
UGCGAGACCGAUAGCGAACAAGUACCGUGAGGGAAAGAUGAAAAGAACUUUGAAAAGAGAGUUAAAGAGUACCUGAAACUGCUGAAAGGGAAUCGAAUCGUUUCCAGUGUCUAUAAUCUGUGGCAUAUUUCAUUGGCGAGUGUGUGCGUGCAUUGUUUUGGAAGCAGUUUUCUGUUCCUGGCUGUGUUGUGCAUUUGCUUGCUGGUGCCCUGUGUCGCGGUGGGACGUCAGAGUCAAUUCGUAAGUUGCGGGAAAUGGCUAUUGGGGAGGUAGGUCACUUCGGUGGCUGUUAUAUCCUGAUAGCUAGUAGUCGUGGCUGGGAUUGAGGUGCCUACAACGUGCUUUCGAGUGUCUGGGUGUCUCGUUUGGUAAGUUAUCUCGACAGCUUGCUGUGUUGGUGAUAUUAUCGAGCGAUUGAUGUCUGGUCUAACUUGUUGCUGUUCGGGACUUUGAA